UACGGGGGGGGUAAGCGUUGUUCGGAAUUACUGGGCGUAAAGGGCUCGUAGGCGGCCAACUAAGUCAUACGUGAAAUCCCUCAGCUUAACUGGGGAACUGCGUGUGAUACUGGAUGGCUUGGAUUUGGGAGAGGGAUGCGGAAUUCCAGGUGUAGCGGUGAAAUGCGUAGAUAUCUGGAGGAACACCGGUGGCGAAGGCGGCAUCCUGGACCAAUAUUGACGCUGAGGCGCGAAAGCUAGGGGAGCAAACGGG
Molecule: ribosomal RNA, 253 nt
Filed under: uncultured bacterium
Lineage: Bacteria
Description: partial 16S ribosomal RNA
Rfam family: Bacterial small subunit ribosomal RNA
Source: RNAcentral